This 427-nucleotide ribosomal RNA is filed under the name uncultured bacterium. RNAcentral's name for it is "partial 16S ribosomal RNA". It matches the Rfam family "Bacterial small subunit ribosomal RNA", at positions 355 to 774 of the family's 1533-position model. The record is from RNAcentral.
UGGGGAAUAUUGGACAAUGGGCGAAAGCCUGAUCCAGCCAUGCCGCGUGUGUGAAGAAGGUCUUCGGAUUGUAAAGCACUUUAAGUUGGGAGGAAGGGCAUUAACCUAAUACGUUAGUGUUUUGACGUUACCGACAGAAUAAGCACCGGCUAACUCUGUGCCAGCAGCCGCGGUAGUACAGAGGGUGCAAGCGUUAAUCGGAAUUACUGGGCGUAAAGCGCGCGUAGGUGGUUUGUUAAGUUGGAUGUGAAAUCCCCGGGCGCAACCUGGGAACUGCAUUCAAAACUGACUGACUAGAGGAUGGUAGAAGGUGGUGGAAUUUCCUGUGUAGCGGUGAAAUGCGUAGAUAUAGGAAGGAACACCAGUGGCGAAGGCGACCACCUGGACUAAUACUGACACUGAGGUGCGAAAGCGUGGGGAGCAAACA